UGGGGAAUAUUGGACAAUGGGCGAAAGCCUGAUCCAGCAAUGCCGCGUGUGUGAAGAAGGUCUUCGGAUUGUAAAGCACUUUCGACGGGGACGAUGAUGACGGUACCCGUAGAAGAAGCCCCGGCUAAUUUCGUGCCGG
This 139-nucleotide ribosomal RNA is filed under the name uncultured bacterium. Its description in RNAcentral is "partial 16S rRNA". It matches the Rfam family "Bacterial small subunit ribosomal RNA", at positions 355 to 511 of the family's 1533-position model. The record is from RNAcentral.